GAUGAACGCUGGCGGCGUGCCUAACACAUGCAAGUCGAACGGAGUCCAGCCUUUAAGACCUUCGGGUCAAAGAGGGGAAGACUGAGUGGCGGACGGGUGAGUAACACGUGGGCAACCUGGCUCAUAGAGGGGGAUAACAGAGAGAAAUUUCUGCUAAUACCGCAUAAGCACACACUGCCGCAUGGCAGAGGGUGAAAAGAGAAUCGCUAUGAGAUGGACCCGCGUCUGAUUAGCCAGUUGGCAGGGUAAGAGCCCACCAAAGCGACGAUCAGUAGCCGAUCUGAGAGGAUGAACGGCCACAUUGGAACUGAGACACGGCCCAAACUCCUACGGGAGGCAGCAGUGGGGGAUAUUGCACAAUGGGGGGAACCCUGAUGCAGCGACGCCGCGUGAGUGAAGAAGUAUUUCGGUAUGUAAAGCUCUAUCAGCAGGGAAGAUAAUGACAGUACCUGAAUAAGAAGCCCCGGCUAACUACGUG
This 478-nucleotide ribosomal RNA is filed under the name uncultured bacterium. Its description in RNAcentral is "partial 16S ribosomal RNA". It matches the Rfam family "Bacterial small subunit ribosomal RNA", at positions 28 to 507 of the family's 1533-position model. The record is from RNAcentral.